CAAGUCGAACGAAGGCUUUGGCCUUAGUGGCGCACGGGUGCGUAACGCGUGGGAAUCUGCCCUCAGGUUCGGAAUAACAGCGAGAAAUUGCUGCUAAUACCGGAUGAUAUCGCGAGAUCAAAGAUUUAUCGCCUGAGGAUGAGCCCGCGUAGGAUUAGCUAGUUGGUGUGGUAAAGGCGCACCAAGGCGACGAUCCUUAGCUGGUCUGAGAGGAUGAUCAGCCACACUGGGACUGAGACACGGCCCAGACUCC
Molecule: ribosomal RNA, 253 nt
Filed under: unidentified marine bacterioplankton
Lineage: Bacteria
Description: partial 16S ribosomal RNA
Rfam family: Bacterial small subunit ribosomal RNA
Source: RNAcentral